Long non-coding RNA from Papaver somniferum (opium poppy), 801 nucleotides. RefSeq lists it as uncharacterized. The transcript has 5 exons. NCBI's taxonomy places the organism in Eukaryota, Viridiplantae, Streptophyta, Magnoliopsida, Ranunculales, Papaveraceae. The record is from RefSeq and is a predicted model, not a curated record.
AGGAUAGAGAAACAGAAGGGGGAGACAUCAUGUUUUGAAACUAAAGAAGACGACUCUUUUUUCCCAGGUACUCUCCAAAAUUUCAAGUUUGGGUACAACGAUGCAACUGGUAAAUAGUAGAAUUUGAUGGCAGCUGGAAUCAUUGACCCUACUAAGGUAAAGAUAGCGUACUGGUGUUAGGAAAAUUUGAUGGCAGCUGGAAUCAUUGACCCUUCUAAAGUAAAGAUAGCGUACUGGUGUUUAGGGGGUUUAUCAUGCCUGGAUUUUGACAAGUUGAAACCAUAUACCAGUUGGAUUUUGAUCUAGCAUGUUCUGAUUCUCAUAUCUAAUUUUACUAUCAAGUUGUGAGAUGCCUGGCUAACAAAGGUAUUAUAAGUGGAUUUCGGAACCAACUUUCAUGACUUGAACAAAGGAGUCUGUGGGAAUCAGAUUCUGAUCGGUUCAUUCGAACACUUUGAACUUCCAAAAGUCCAAGAUCAUAUUAGAGAACUGAAAGAAAGAUUUGCUGGUAGAAAGAUUUAUGGGGUGAUAACACCAGUAAAGAGCUUUCUGCCCCGUUAAGGAACUCAUAUAUACGUAAUGUAAAUAAGUUGUUGGAUAUUUUGUGGAAGAUGCUGCUGAGGGUAAAACGUCGGAUGAUUUUACAAGGUAUACACAUUGGUGCAAUGUUGCAAUCUUAUGCAAAAGAAGGUUAGGGUGUGGUUAUGAAUUAUUGAUUUUAGGAAUGUUUUGCGGGGGUAUAUGUAUUUAUGCACUAGUGUAUUUUUCCAUAAAAAAAUAAAUUUGUGUGUGGUUAUGUAU